UACAAUGACUCUCGGCAACGGAUAUCUCGGCUCUUGCAUCGAUGAAGAACGUAGCGAAAUGCGAUACUUGGUGUGAAUUGCAGAAUCCCGUGAACCAUCGAGUCUUUGAACGCAAGUUGCGCCCGAAGCCAUUAGGUUGAGGGCACGCCUGCUUGGGUGUCACA
Molecule: ribosomal RNA, 164 nt
Filed under: Peteria scoparia
Lineage: Eukaryota; Viridiplantae; Streptophyta; Magnoliopsida; Fabales; Fabaceae
Description: 5.8S ribosomal RNA
Rfam family: 5.8S ribosomal RNA
About the family: 5.8S ribosomal RNA (5.8S rRNA) is a component of the large subunit of the eukaryotic ribosome. It is transcribed by RNA polymerase I as part of the 45S precursor that also contains 18S and 28S rRNA.
Source: RNAcentral